RNAcentral lists this long non-coding RNA (1229 nucleotides) under Sus scrofa (pig). RNAcentral's name for it is "lncRNA (ENSSSCG00005025989.1)". Lineage: Eukaryota; Metazoa; Chordata; Mammalia; Artiodactyla; Suidae. The record is from RNAcentral.
UCUGCAGCUGAUACCAAUUCCCGAUAGGGAAUUUGUCCUCUAGUUUUAUAAGAUGUUCCCAUCGAGAGAAACUGCUUAAAAAAAUACAGGAGAACCCUCUCCUAGGUCCGACUACGGUAUGUAAAUCUACAAUUAUCACAAUGUAAAAAGUUUACAUGUAAACUUACAGGGGAAUUGAAAUUUACCACAAAUCUCCAAUUGAGUCUACUGUGCUCUAGCACACCGAAAUUCUGAGGGUCUAAGCAUGUGUUUGGAGUUCACGGAGUUCCCACUGGGGCUCAGCAGGAUAAGAACCUGACUGGUAUGCAUGAAGAUGCGGGUUCAAUCCUUGGCCUCACUCGGUGGGUUAAGGGCCUGGCGUUGCUGCAAGCUGCGGCUUAGGUGGUAGAUGCGGCUGGGAUCUGGUGUGGCUGUGGCAGGGGCAUAGGCCUGCAGCUGCGGCUCCAAUUGAAUCCUUAGUCUGGGAACUUUCAUAUGCUGCACCUGUAGCCAUAAAAAAGAAAAAAUAAUAAUAGUAAUUAUAGUUCACAAAACUGCUGGCUUUGAUCCUCUUGUCCCUUCCAACUCAGUAGCCUGGAAACCUCCCAGAGCUCUAUCUUAAGAUCUGUGCUUUUCUGUGGCACUUUCUCCCCUCCUCAUUGUUCUGGGUUCAUUAGAUAAAACUGUCCCAAACUCCUGCUGAGAGAUGAUCUAUUGUGAGAUAGCUUUGUGAGGCAGAACACAGGAAACCUCAGGGUCUUAUCUCCUGUGAGCCGUCUGUUUUUCCCCAACAGCCCAAUAAAGGAGACUCCUCAGCUGGCGGGGAGUGGUUGGGAAGGCAGACACGGUCCCCAGACCCCUGACCCCUGACCCCACCCUCCACGGCCCUCUCUGUCGCAGGCAGCUGCGUUUCUUGUGGGCUGAGCCAGGGCUGGGAGGGUGAACAGUUCCUUCUCAGAUGGGCAAAGAGGACUUGUCCUGAUGGCUCUCUCAAUCUCUGCAAGGUCUCUGUUCACGUGUAUGUCCUGCUGAGUCGUAGUUCGGAGGAAGAGAAAAAUAGUCCAUUACAGACGUCGUAAAAUGUCUCUCUCCUCAUCAUGGAUCAAAGCUGUUUUCAUCAUUUCCUUGGCAGGACCUCUUCAUUCUGGUGAGUAGAUUUUCAUCUGCAGUGAAACAUGUUACAUAUCUUAGAAAGUGCAGGAAAAAGUUCUGUAAUCCAGGAAUGGAGGAGCUUGUGUUUUAUUGGGUUU